GCCAGUCCCACCCCCGUAGCCGCCGCCGGCUAGUCAGGCACGCGCGACAUCUCAGCAAGGGCUCGAAGUAUAAUCGCGGGCGAUUGAGACCCUACCCUUAGCUCUGACUGGGGCCACGGGUGCAUAGUUGCCGCGGACAUGAACCACCGCCACUAAGUCGGUGAGGCUGACCCGCGACCUCGGAAGCCGUUUGCAUUGAUAGCCAAGCGC
Molecule: unclassified non-coding RNA, 210 nt
Filed under: plant metagenome
Description: partial contains 5.8S ribosomal RNA, internal transcribed spacer 2, and large subunit ribosomal RNA
Source: RNAcentral